GACGAACGCUGGCGGCAUGCCUAAUACAUGCAAGUCGAGCGAACGGAUGAAGUGCUUGCACUUCUGACGUUAGCGGCGAACGGGUGAGUAACACGUAAGGAAUCUACCUAUAAGCGGGGGAUAACAUUGGGAAACGGGUGCUAAUACCGCAUAAUAUCUUCUUCCGCAUGGAAGAAGAUUGAAAGACGGCUCUGCUGUCACUUAUAGAUGACCUUGCGGUGCAUUAGUUAGUUGGUGGGGUAAUGGCCUACCAAGACGAUGAUGCAUAGCCGACCUGAGAGGGUGAUCGGCCACAUUGGGACUGAGACACGGCCCAAACUCCUACGGGAGGCAGCAGUAGGGAAUCUUCCGCAAUGGGCGAAAGCCUGACGGAGCAAUGCCGCGUGAGUGAAGAAGGCCUUCGGGUCGUAAAACUCUGUUAUAAGAGAAGAACAAAUUGUAGAGUAACUGCUAUAGUCUUGACGGUAUCUUAUCAGAAAGCCACGGCUAACUACGUGCCAGCCGCCGCCGUAA
This 513-nucleotide ribosomal RNA is filed under the name uncultured bacterium. RNAcentral describes it as "partial 16S ribosomal RNA". It matches the Rfam family "Bacterial small subunit ribosomal RNA", at positions 28 to 523 of the family's 1533-position model. The record is from RNAcentral.